Molecule: ribosomal RNA, 775 nt
Filed under: uncultured Neocallimastigales
Lineage: Eukaryota; Fungi; Neocallimastigomycota; Neocallimastigomycetes; Neocallimastigales
Description: partial large subunit ribosomal RNA
Rfam family: Eukaryotic large subunit ribosomal RNA
Source: RNAcentral
CAUAGCGACUAUCGUGGCAUAUCAAUAAGCGGAGGAAAAGAAACUAACUAGGAUUCCCUUAGUAACGGCGAGUGAAGCGGGAAGAGCUCAAAUUUGAAAUCUUCAAGGUUCUACCUUGACGAAUUGUAGUUUAAAGAAGUGUUUUCUGUUGGAGUUUUGGUAAAAGUUCUUUGGAAUAGGACAUCAUAGAGGGUGAGAAUCCCGUAUUUGACCAUUAUUUUCAGCUGUGUGAUAGCACUUUCAAAGAGUCGGAUUGUUUGGGAAUGCAGUCCAAAAUGGGUGGUAAAUUUCAUCUAAGCUAAUAUACUGGCGAGAGACCGAUAGCGAACAAGUACCGUGAGGGAAAGAUGAAAAGAACUUUGAAAAGAGAGUUAAACAGUACGUGAAAUUGUCAAAAGGGAAGCGUUUGACACCAGUGUUGUUUUUCCGAAAAUCAAUUAAUGAAUGGCUUGAUUUUAAGUUUCAUGACCUUAAAAGCUUGUUUCUUAUUUUUCAUGUCUUUCUUAAUGCACUUUUCGGUUAACAAGUCAACAUCAAUUUCUUUUGUUGUAAAAGGUUAAGAGGAAGGUGGCUUUACUUUCGGGUAAAGUGUUUAUAGCCUUUUAACUCUGCAAUCGGAGAGAUUGAGGUCUGCAGCGUAGAUCCUUCGGGGUUAGAUACAUUUGUGCUAAGUUAUAGCUUUUCAUAGACAACUUGUUGACUAUGUUAAGUCUUGUAAUUUACUCGCAGAUGCUAUUUUACCUACGCUUAGGAUGUUGAUAUGCAUGACUGAUAU